This 91-nucleotide transfer RNA is filed under the name Achromobacter xylosoxidans. RNAcentral describes it as "tRNA-Thr(ggt)". The record is from RNAcentral. Lineage: Bacteria; Pseudomonadati; Pseudomonadota; Betaproteobacteria; Burkholderiales; Alcaligenaceae.
CGCGCGCUACAUCACGGGCGACCCGUCGGCCUGGUGGGCCGACGGCGCCCUGUUGCAGGAGUGGCGGCGCUUCGACGCGCGGCGCGCGGCC